AUGUUUGUUCAGGUAGCACAUAUGAUAAAUUAUAAUUGAUACAGAGAAGAUUAGCAUGCCCCCUGCAAAAGGAUGACACACAAAAUCGUGAAACGUUUCCACAUUUU
This 107-nucleotide small nuclear RNA is filed under the name Mola mola (ocean sunfish). The record is from RNAcentral. Lineage: Eukaryota; Metazoa; Chordata; Actinopteri; Tetraodontiformes; Molidae.